RNAcentral lists this ribosomal RNA (400 nucleotides) under uncultured bacterium. Its description in RNAcentral is "bacterial SSU rRNA". It matches the Rfam family "Bacterial small subunit ribosomal RNA", at positions 360 to 776 of the family's 1533-position model. The record is from RNAcentral.
AAUUUUGCGCAAUGGGGGAAACCCUGACGCAGCAACGCCGCGUGAAUGAUGAAGCCCUUCGGGGUGUAAAGUUCUGUCAGUGGGGACGAAAUUUGACGGUACCCACAGAGGAAGCACCGGCUAACUCCGUGCCAGCAGCCGCGGUAAUACGGAGGGUGCAAGCGUUGUCCGGAAUCAUUGGGCGUAAAGCGUUCGUAGGCGGUAUAUCAAGUCUGGUGUUAAAGCCCGAGGCUCAACCUCGGUUCGGCACUGGAUACUGAUAAACUAGAAUGUGGUAGAGGUGAAGGGAAUUCCUGGUGUAGCGGUGAAAUGCGUAGAUAUCAGGAGGAACACCGGUGGCGUAAGCGCUUCACUGGGCCAUUAUUGACGCUGAGGAACGAAAGCCGGGGGAGCAAAUGGG